RNAcentral lists this ribosomal RNA (404 nucleotides) under Brucella melitensis. Its description in RNAcentral is "partial 16S ribosomal RNA". It matches the Rfam family "Bacterial small subunit ribosomal RNA", at positions 355 to 776 of the family's 1533-position model. The record is from RNAcentral. Lineage: Bacteria; Pseudomonadati; Pseudomonadota; Alphaproteobacteria; Hyphomicrobiales; Brucellaceae. RNAcentral also lists the same sequence under 1 other name.
UGGGGAAUCUUGCGCAAUGGGCGAAAGCCUGACGCAGCCAUGCCGCGUGUAUGAUGAAGGUCUUAGGAUUGUAAAAUACUUUCACCGGUGAAGAUAAUGACUGUAGCCGGAGAAGAAGCCCCGGCUAACUUCGUGCCAGCAGCCGCGGUAAUACGAAGGGGGCUAGCGUUGCUCGGAAUUACUGGGCGUAAAGGGAGCGUAGGCGGACAUUUAAGUCAGGGGUGAAAUCCCAGAGCUCAACUCUGGAACUGCCUUUGAUACUGGAUGUCUUGAGUAUGAGAGAGGUAUGUGGAACUCCGAGUGUAGAGGUGAAAUUCGUAGAUAUUCGGAAGAACACCAGUGGCGAAGGCGACAUACUGGCUCAUUACUGACGCUGAGGCUCGAAAGCGUGGGGAGCAAACAGG